This 74-nucleotide transfer RNA is filed under the name Candidatus Yanofskyibacteriota bacterium. RNAcentral describes it as "Candidatus Yanofskybacteria bacterium tRNA-Gln". It matches the Rfam family "tRNA". Rfam says of the family: Transfer RNA (tRNA) molecules are approximately 80 nucleotides in length. Their secondary structure includes four short double-helical elements and three loops (D, anti-codon, and T loops). Further hydrogen bonds mediate the characteristic L-shaped molecular structure. tRNAs have two regions of fundamental functional importance: the anti-codon, which is responsible for specific mRNA codon recognition, and the 3' end, to which the tRNAs corresponding amino acid is attached (by aminoacyl-tRNA synthetases). tRNAs cope with the degeneracy of the genetic code in two manners: having more than one tRNA (with a specific anti-codon) for a particular amino acid; and 'wobble' base-pairing, i.e. permitting non-standard base-pairing at the 3rd anti-codon position. The record is from RNAcentral. Lineage: Bacteria; Candidatus Yanofskyibacteriota.
UGCCAGGUCUUCUAAUGGUAGGAAUGUGGACUCUGAAUCCAUCAAUCUAGGUUCGAAUCCUAGCCUGGCAGCCA